Molecule: ribosomal RNA, 448 nt
Filed under: uncultured bacterium
Lineage: Bacteria
Description: SSU rRNA
Rfam family: Bacterial small subunit ribosomal RNA
Source: RNAcentral
AGAGCGAACGCUGGCGGCAGGCCUAACACAUGCAAGUCGAGCGCCCGUAGCAAUACGGGAGCGGCAGACGGGAUAGUAACACGUGGGAACGCGCCCUUCGGUUCGGAAUAACUCAGGGAAACUUGAGCUAAUACCGGAUACGCCCUUACGGGGAAAGAUUUAUUGCCGAAGGAACGGCCCGCGUCCGAUUAGCUAGUUGGUGAGGUAAUGGCUCACCAAGGCGACGAUCGGUAGCUGGUCUGAGAGGAUGACCAGCAUCACUGGGACUGAGACACGGCCCAGACUCCUACGGGAGGCAGCAGUGGGGAAUAUUGGACAAUGGGCGCAAGCCUGAUCCAGCCAUGCCGCGUUGAUGAUGAAGGCCUUAGGGUUGUAAAGUCCUUUUAACGGGGAAGAUAAUGACGGUACCCGUAGAAUAAGCCCCGGCUAACUUCGUGCCAGCAGCCGC